AGUCUAACACGUGACGCGAGUCUCAGGGUCGUCACGAAACCCGUUGGACGCAAUGAAAGUGAAAAACGUUUCGGCGUUUUAGGUGAGAUCCCGAAGUCGGUGACGACUACGGGCGCACCACCGGCCCGUUUCAGCUGCCACGUCAGCGAGGCGGAGCAAGAGUGUACGCGUUGGGACCCGAAAGAUGGUGAACUAUGCCUGANCAGGGCGAAGCCAGAGCAAA
This 223-nucleotide ribosomal RNA is filed under the name Branchellion torpedinis. Its description in RNAcentral is "partial 28S ribosomal RNA". It matches the Rfam family "Eukaryotic large subunit ribosomal RNA", at positions 672 to 861 of the family's 3401-position model. The record is from RNAcentral. Lineage: Eukaryota; Metazoa; Annelida; Clitellata; Hirudinida; Piscicolidae.